CACGGGUACUUUUGAUUUUAUCAGUAAUUUGAUUGUUGUGGACCGGAAGCGCUAACCGAUAACCAUCACUAGCCAGAUAAAGUGGAGCGUUACGCACUGAAUUUCUUGAUCUUACAUUAUUCUGAGUUCGUUAUACAACUGCUGCACCGUAAAGUAUUGGUGGUUACUUCAGCCAAGUCGAAGUUUUCAUUUUGCAGAGCGAUAUUUUCCAUCGGCAUCAAUUGCGAUUUUCAUGCGCAUUACUUUUUAUCGGCAGUGCCUUGUUUCAAAAAAGUCGCUGAUGAAUGCGCUCGUACUAAGUAAUUUGAGAAAGUGUGUCUGGUACUGGCAAAAUGCAGUGUCGUGCUUUUGUGAUCCCUAUUUCGAAUCAAACGUAUGGUACACUGCAUUGGCGCAACAGAAUUGUAGCCGCAACUGGCGCAUUGUGGGCUCGCAACACGCGUAUUGCUCUAACCUCAGCCAGUAAGAAUUAUGGAAUUUGCACUAUAUUGUCCGAUCGUUACCGCGAUGGGCUUGUACCGCAGUAAAAGUAAGUACUACCCCUAACUAUUCUUGGCUGAUCAGGAAAGAUUACUUGAACCAACUGUACAACAUGCCGAUUUCAUGGCUGAUUUCAGUAAAACCAGAGAAACUGUUGCUUAUAGUAAGUGCAUUAUAAUUGACGGAAGCCUAGCGAAGGUCCUUAAUGUUCAUCGUUAACGCAAUAUCCGUCGGUCGCCGCCCCCUAAACCACGAGUGCGGUUUUUGCUACCAAUUACAGACAUGCGCGGUGGGCAUGUAGACAUGCGCGGUGGGCAUAUAUGCUUACGCCUUAUUCUGUAGAAGACGGCACUCGCAUUGUCAAGCUUAUGCACGGGAGUGUUUAGUGUUAACCGAAGUGCAGUGAAAGUCGACACAUUCAAUUAUCGAAAAACUGGAAACCUUCUGUCGGUGACCGUCGGCCUUUUUCACCGUACGCCGGAUAUGCUCGUGGGCAACGAUCAACAAGAUGUUCGUUGUCGGCCAUUACUACGUAACCGUUUCAUACUUAACCAUUAACUGAAGUCCUUAAGCGUCUUUUAUUUCUAUGUCCAAGAAACUUAGAAACCUGAGAUGUGGAUUUGCCAUGAAGCCAGUAACCAUGAAGCCAAUAACCAGAACGCCAAACUAGAAUAAAAUCAAGAAACCGGGAACCUUUCAAGCAGUUUCCAGAGCAGAAGAUUAUAUUCGUCGUGGAAACGAUUUCCCGAUGUGGCCCACGAUCGUUCAAAUCGCAUGUGACUAACCGGAGGGAAGGUCAUAAACUCACCAAGCUGCAGCGUAUAAUUGUCAGCAACCACAAGCCAGUUCAGCUUCAACUCUAAAAUCUGCAGGAUAUCUGACAAUGGCUCCAAGAUUUCCUCCCAACUUCCAGUGAGAUAUACGACCUUCGUAUUUCUCGAUAGGAUUGAAAUGAUUAUUUUUGUAAAUGUGGAACUCAAGUCAUUCAGGCGAAAUCCUUCAUCAAGAAUAACAUUACUGGAAUACUUUGGCAGUACAAUGCACUCUUGGAGAAUAGCUGCCGACGACAGAUGCCGAAAGUGACUUGAUAACCUUAAAAAAUAGACUGGACAAUUAACGGUAGGUUUUCGCAUUUCGAUAAAAGAACAGCGUUUAAACUUUAACGUACGUGAUUUUAUUCGGGUAUAACGUCUCAGCAAGCACAUCCAUAAAGCCAUAAAGCGGUACAUAAAACAUUGUGUACCGCGCUGAAUUUACCCUUAAUGGGUUCGGACCGCCAACCAACGCUUACAAAAAUGUGGUUUUGUGUACAAAACCGCUUUCCUUACGUCAGGAUUUUCACUGCAGCAGUGGUGUACCGAGCUCACCCACAAAUCUAAGCCGGGGUGGCAUUAUUGGGAUUCUAGCAACAAACUACGUUCGCAGACGGCCUGGCGGGAUCCUAUGGUAGUUAAUUUUUGCUGCUGCACGCUACCUCUUGAAACGCCCUUGGUCAUACGCAUCCAGAAAAGAAAACACCGUCAGCUGCACAUCCCAAGAAUUCUUCAAAUCAAAUGUAUGGCGUUACACUGGUGCUUCGGCUUACGAUCGCCAAACGCAGAUGAAUAAGAAGCGUUGUCUGUCACCACGUGAACGCGCUCAUCAAAUUUCUGGAAGUAGUUCAAUAUCCCUGGCAAAAGGGACGCUUUAAAGGCCUCAGAAAGAGUACGCGUACCAGUGGGUGUAAAACGCUGCGAUACGGCUCAGCCAUUUCAACCCAACUGAAACGUCCCGACACCAUGGCUCCGACACUGGCAAGGGAAUUCGCAUUACAGGGAAGGUUUCCGGCGUCACAUUUUUCCCCAGGUAACCACGAGGACGGAUUGUCCGUGUUCUGUAACAACCCUGAUACUGCAUCAUGACGUAACGUCGUGUAGUUGUUGGCAAUGCGACUUCAACUUCCGUAAAAUUGAAGAGCGCGGCGUCUUUCGCUGUGUAGCUUUUAAUACACCCUGGCCACCAUGAUUCCCGUUAAUUUUCAUCCGUUUUCAAAAGAACAUCAACUUCUCCUUCUUUUAUUUCCUGAUCUGUAUGGGAGCGGUCUGAAAACUCAUCUACUUCCCGUAAUUGUUCAAAU
This is a long non-coding RNA of Paramacrobiotus metropolitanus, 2596 nucleotides long. RefSeq lists it as uncharacterized. NCBI's taxonomy places the organism in Eukaryota, Metazoa, Tardigrada, Eutardigrada, Parachela, Macrobiotidae. The transcript is spliced from 7 exons. The record is from RefSeq and is a predicted model, not a curated record.